GGGUUCCGGAGCUAACGCGUUAAGUCGACCGCCUGGGGAGUACGGCCGCAAGGUUAAAACUCAAAUGAAUUGACGGGGGCCCGCACAAGCGGUGGAGCAUGUGGUUUAAUUCGAUGCAACGGAAGAACCUUACCUACUCUUGACAUCCAGCGAACUUUCCAGAGAUGGAUUGGUGCCUUCGGGAACGCUGAGACAGGUGCUGCAUGGCUGUCGUCAGCUCGUGUUGUGAAAUGUUGGGUUAAGUCCCGCAACGAGCGCAACCCUUAUCCUUUGUUGCCAGCGAUUCGGUCGGGAACUCAAAGGAGACUGCCGGUGAUAAACCGGAGGAAGGUGGGGAUGACGUCAAGUCAUCAUGGCCCUUACGAGUAGGGCUACACACGUGCUACAAUGGCGCAUACAAAGAGAAGCGACCUCGCGAGAGCAAGCGGACCUCAUAAAGUGCGUCGUAGUCCGGAUCGGAGUCUGCAACUCGACUCCGUGAAGUCGGAAUCGCUAGUAAUCGUGGAUCAGAAUGCCACGGUGAAUACGUUCCCGGGCCUUGUACACACCGCCCGUCACACCAUGGGAGUGGGUUG
Molecule: ribosomal RNA, 575 nt
Filed under: Pantoea sp. DJM4E12
Lineage: Bacteria; Pseudomonadati; Pseudomonadota; Gammaproteobacteria; Enterobacterales; Erwiniaceae
Description: bacterial SSU rRNA
Rfam family: Bacterial small subunit ribosomal RNA
Source: RNAcentral